This 895-nucleotide ribosomal RNA is filed under the name Spizellomyces lactosolyticus. Its description in RNAcentral is "eukaryotic LSU rRNA". It matches the Rfam family "Eukaryotic large subunit ribosomal RNA", at positions 107 to 916 of the family's 3401-position model. RNAcentral also lists the same sequence under 1 other name. Lineage: Eukaryota; Fungi; Chytridiomycota; Chytridiomycetes; Spizellomycetales; Spizellomycetaceae. The record is from RNAcentral.
GCUCAAAUUUGAAAUCUCACAGGGUUACCUGUGCGAAUUGUAGUUUAGAGAAGCGUUUUCGGGGGCGACUUGGGUAUAAGUCCUCUGGAAAGGGGCAUCAUAGAGGGUGAGAAUCCCGUUUAUGGUCCAAUGUUCGCUCCUAUGUGAUACGCUUUCCAAGAGUCAGGUAGUUUGGGAUUGCUGCCUAAAAUGGGUGGUAAAUACCAUCUAAAGCUAAAUAUUGGCGAGAGACCGAUAGCAAACAAGUACCGUGAGGGAAAGAUGAAAAGAACUUUGAAAAGAGAGUUAAACAGUACGUGAAAUUGCCAAAAGGGAAACGCUUGGAACCAGUAUUGCUUGCAGGUAAUCAGCCGCACGUCCCGCAAGGGUCGCGUGUGGUGCACUUGCUUGCGGGCAGGUCAGCAUCAGUUUGGCUCGAGGUAAAAAGCCGGAGGAAGGUGACUUGGGCUUCGGUCUGAGUGUUAUAGCUUCCGGUCAUGCCCCGAGCUGGACUGAGGUCUGCAGCGUUUUUGGGAUUCCAGAUCGCCUUUCGAAGCUUGCGUCCAGACAGCAUGCUGACUGGAUGUAAGUCUAGGGAGCUCGGUAGGGUUCAUCACUCCAACGCUUAGGAUGCUGACGAAAUGGUUCCAAACGACCCGUCUUGAAACACGGACCAAGGAGUCUAACAUAUAUGCGAGUAUUUGGGUGGCAAACCCUUAUGCGAAAUGAAAGUGAACUUAGGUGGGAUCUUCGGUGCACCAUCGACCGGUCUGGAUUUUUUUGAUAGAUCUGAGUAAGAGCAUAUCUGUUGGGACCCGAAAGAUGGUGAACUAUGCCUGAAUAGGGUGAAGCCAGAGGAAACUCUGGUGGAGGCUCGUAGCGAUUCUGACGUGCAAAUCGAUCGUCAAAUUUGGGU